Molecule: long non-coding RNA, 3298 nt
Filed under: Brassica napus (rape)
Lineage: Eukaryota; Viridiplantae; Streptophyta; Magnoliopsida; Brassicales; Brassicaceae
Description: long non-coding RNA (BNAP_LNC013412)
Source: RNAcentral
AUUUAAAUUCCUGCGAUACAAAUAAAUUUCAGUUCUUUUUAUAACAGCUAUACCUUUGAUUAAUCUUCAAUAAAAAUGGUUUUCAAUAAAAUUUCUCAAAACUAAAGGUACUCUCACUUCUUUAUUAGUCUUGAACAUUGACACUAAAAUUAUAAUUCUCAAGUCUAUAUUAAAACCGAAGCAAUUCGUGAUUUUCUUAUUACAUGCAGAAAAUUAGUUACACGGAGGAAAAUUGGCAGAACAUUUUCCAGGUAACUGGAGAGCGAGAGUGUGGUCAACGCCAGGAAUAGAUGGUCCAUUGGCAAUAACGCAUAGACAAGGCUGACCAAGCGUUUUGAUGGCAGUGCAACAUGGCUCGUUCGGAGACAAUGUGCUAAACGGCACCACUGAUAGUGUACAAGGCACGAGUUCAAUCAAAGCGGACAAAAAUGUUCGACCACAUGGGUGUGCUGUAGCCUUUUUGACCAGGCCUGACUCGACCAAAACCAUAAGAAUCAUCACUGUAAGAACCUCUGUUUUUCUCAUUUUAAUAAUUUAUUUGUAGUUUUGAAAAAUGUUUGAAAAGGUGAGGCUCAUUAUAUAACUUCUAAGGAGAGUGUUUGCAUGAGUAACCUAAUGGAGUUGAAAGUAGAUGGAUCAUGAAACUUGGGGUUUAUUGUUUGUAGGUUCAAAUUUUCAAUGCAACUAAAAAGAUGUUAAACCUGCAUAUUCAUAUCAAAAAAUUAUCUAAUUUUUUUAGUCAAUUUUUUUUUUUUAUCUAACUAUCAGUGUAACGCACAACCAGUUUAUUUACAUGCAUAAAGAAUGGGUUGUCAAAUUGCAUGCUCUUGAUCACCAUCUUAAACUAAUGAUCUCUCUUAAUGAAACUUGAAUCGUUUCUAAGGUUUGAGACUAAAAUAGUAAAAAUAUUCAAGCACUUGUCAGUGUUUAAAAAAGAAAAAUCAAGUACUUGUCUAUCUUUCUUGUACAGUAUAACAACAUUCUUUUUGGAGCAUCUCCAACCCUACUCCAAAACCCACUCCAAAUUCUAUUUUGCAGUAAAUUUAUCUUCAAUCUCAUUCCAAAAUCCACUCCAAAAUGGAAUAAUAGAUAUGAUUACUCCAAAUAUGAAGUAAACCAACUCAUUAUUCUAAAAUGGAGUUGAACUUUUUUAUUUAUAAAAUGGUCCUCCAUAUUUAAAUAUUUCCGUUUUUAAUAAAAUAUUAUUAUAAAUAAAUAUAUAAAUAUUAUUUCACUUUAUAUAUUAUAAAAAUUACUAAUAAUAUUUCUUAAUUAUAUAAAUAUCCAUCAAGUGAACUAUUUUAUACAACAAAAUAUAUAUAAUAUAAAACAUAAAAGACCAUACAUAUAAAAAAUAAAAGAUAAGCACCAUAUAAAAGAUAUAUAAUAUAAAACAUAAAAGAUCAUACAUACGAAAAUAGACUAUUUUACAAAUAGUAUAAAUAAAAGAUGAUAUUACUAAUUUUUUAAUAACAUAAAACAUAAUAUAUUAAAAAUAUUCUAUUUUGGAGUAGGAAAUAGAGUAAUACAUUGAAAUAAAACUCAACUUCAUUUUGGAGUCACUCUAUUUUGGAGUAGAAAAUGGAGUAAUACAUUGGAAAUGCUCUGAGCAGCAUCUUAGCCGAGAGUUUGAUCUAUACAAUGGCACACAUAGAAGACUGAUACGCGUUAGUUCAUUUUCCAUUAUAUUAGAGAAUCUGAUCGAUUCAAAACCAUUUUUCCUAGAUCCAUUGUUCUGAUGUGAUGUUUCUAAACGUUCCUCCGCUGAUAAAAUUCAAACGUAUAUAAGAAUUUGAGUAUGAGAAAUUCUAGUAUGAGUCUCACAAAUUUUUGAGCGACUUUCAUAUUAAUUUUUUUUUUGUGAGAGUCAUGGUGAGAGAUUCUUGAUGCGGAUGAUGGCCUAAGAUAAGCAGCCUACACAGUACAAGUUGCUUAAAACCGUCAAAAUUGUUCGACCACAUGGGUGUCCCACAUUGACCAAACUUGACUCGACCAAAGCUGUUUUAAGUAAUAGUAUAUUUGUAAGAACCUGAUAUUCAGUCAUCUCACGGAUAUAUAGUUUUGAAUCUGUCUUAAAGACAAGGCUCAUAAGUCAUAACUUGCGCAUAAAAUAUUAGGAGAGCAACGAAAAUGAUUGCAUAAGUUUGGUUAAGAUAGAUCGUUAAACUUUGGCUUGUUGUUUUUAGGGUCACUUAUUCUAUUCCAUAAGUUUGACGUUUAGAGUUCAGAUAUCUGGAUCCUAAUCUAAUACAUAUCACAUUUAUAUUCUCUAUCUUCCAUGAAAUAGACUAUAUACUCUAUUAUCGUCCAUUUUUAAUAUAUGUUCAUCCACGUCAUGGGGCUUAAUCACCAUUUUAAACUAAUAUAUCUCACCAUCUAGUAGUUGAUGGAUGGCCUGGUGGCAUUAUCAUCUGCGUGACUGUGUUCUAAACCCUGUGAUCAAUGAGUGUUUUAAAGUGGUCUUGUUACCACGUUGACUAGAAGACAAACAUAAAAAGCUGAAUAUAUCGGUGUCUCACUAGCUUAAACUCACUAUCCCCCUUUUUAACCACCACAUUAAACUAAUAAUCCCUCUUUGAUCACUUACGUCCUCAGCACGAUAGCUAAGAAGGAGCUUGAGAGAGUGAGUAUUAUAAAACCUCUCUUGAUUGGAAUAAUUUUGUGUUACUGUUUCAUUGAUACGUCUAAUAAAUUUAGACAAUGACUUCCGAAGACAAGCUGGAGACAGAUUCUACUUAAGGGUCAGAGUCCUAUUAUGUCACACUUGAUUGGACUGUAACCGCUGCACUAUUUGCACAGUAAAUUUUCUUCUAUAUAUACGAACGUUUGCGUUCGUUUAUAAAGCACACCUAAAAACACUUCUCUUCUAUUCUCUCUCUGUAUCAGUGUUAUUUCUUUCUACGGGUAUAAAAUUUUGCCCUUAUUUAAAUUCCUGCGAUACAAAUAAAUUUCAGUUCUUUUUAUAACAGCUAUACCUUUGAUUAAUCUUCAAUAAAAAUGGUUUUCAAUAAAAUUUCUCAAAACUAAAGGUACUCUCACUUCUUUAUUAGUCUUGAACAUUGACACUAAAAUUAUAAUUCUCAAGUCUAUAUUAAAACCGAAGCAAUUCGUGAUUUUCUUAUUACAUGCAGAAAAUUAGUUACACGGAGGAAAAUUGGCAGAACAUUUUCCAGGUAACUGGAGAGCGAGAGUGUGGUCAACGCCAGGAAUAGAUGGUCCAUUGGCAAUAACGCAUAGACAAGGCUGACCAAGCGUUUUGAUGGCAGUGCAACAUGGCUCGUUCGGAGACAAUGUGCUA